Molecule: ribosomal RNA, 488 nt
Filed under: uncultured Halomonas sp. HD-2000/10
Lineage: Bacteria; Pseudomonadati; Pseudomonadota; Gammaproteobacteria; Oceanospirillales; Halomonadaceae
Description: bacterial SSU rRNA
Rfam family: Bacterial small subunit ribosomal RNA
Source: RNAcentral
GAACGCUGGCGGCAGGCCUAACACAUGCAAGUCGAGCGGCAGCACGGGGAGCUUGCUCCCUGGUGGCGAGCGGCGGACGGGUGAGUAAUGCAUAGGAAUCUGCCCGGUAGUGGGGGAUAACCUGGGGAAACCCAGGCUAAUACCGCAUACGUCCUACGGGAGAAAGCAGGGGAUCUUCGGACCUUGCGCUAUCGGAUGAGCCUAUGUCGGAUUAGCUGGUUGGUGAGGUAAUGGCUCACCAAGGCGACGAUCCGUAGCUGGUCUGAGAGGAUGAUCAGCCACACUGGGACUGAGACACGGCCCAGACUCCUACGGGAGGCAGCAGUGGGGAAUAUUGGACAAUGGGCGCAAGCCUGAUCCAGCCAUGCCGCGUGUGUGAAGAAGGCCCUCGGGUUGUAAAGCACUUUCAGCGAGGAAGAAGGCUUGGCGGUCAAUACCCGUCAAGAAGGACAUCACUCGCAGAAGAAGCACCGGCUAACUCCGUGCCA